RNAcentral lists this transfer RNA (89 nucleotides) under Leuconostoc pseudomesenteroides. RNAcentral's name for it is "tRNA-Leu". It matches the Rfam family "tRNA". Rfam says of the family: Transfer RNA (tRNA) molecules are approximately 80 nucleotides in length. Their secondary structure includes four short double-helical elements and three loops (D, anti-codon, and T loops). Lineage: Bacteria; Bacillati; Bacillota; Bacilli; Lactobacillales; Lactobacillaceae. The record is from RNAcentral.
GCGGGUGUGGCGGAACUGGCAGACGCGCNNCGCGCUGGAUUUAGGUUCCAGUGGAGAAAUCCGUGCAGGUUCGAUUCCUGUCACCCGUA